ACGAACGCUGGCGGCGUGCUUAACACAUGCAAGUCGAACGGUGAAGCGCCUUCCUUUUUGGUGGGUGUGGAUGAGUGGCGAACGGGUGAGUAACACGUGAGUAACCUGCCCCCUUCUUCUGGAUAACCGCAUGAAAGUGUGGCUAAUACGGGAUAUUCUGGGUCUGUCGCAUGAUGGGUCUGGGAAAGAUAUUGUUUCGGUGGGGGAUGGGCUCGCGGCCUAUCAGCUUGUUGGUGGGGUGAUGGCCUACCAAGGCGGUGACGGGUAGCCGGCCUGAGAGGGUGCACGGUCACACUGGGACUGAGACACGGCCCAGACUCCUACGGGAGGCAGCAGUGGGGAAUAUUGCACAAUGGGCGCAAGCCUGAUGCGGCGACGCCGCGUGAGGGAUGGAGGCCUUCGGGUUGUGAACCUCUUUCGCCAGUGAAGCAGGCCUGCCUCGUUUGUGGGUGGGUGGACGGUAGCUGGAUAAGAAGCGCCGGCUAACUACGU
Molecule: ribosomal RNA, 492 nt
Filed under: uncultured bacterium
Lineage: Bacteria
Description: partial 16S ribosomal RNA
Rfam family: Bacterial small subunit ribosomal RNA
Source: RNAcentral